Molecule: long non-coding RNA, 344 nt
Organism: Haliotis rubra (blacklip abalone)
Lineage: Eukaryota; Metazoa; Mollusca; Gastropoda; Lepetellida; Haliotidae
Exons: 2
Source: RefSeq, a predicted model, not a curated record
ACCUGACAUCUGUAUGUGUGUCUAGGUACGUGACAUCUGUGUGUAUGUGUGUCUAGGUACGUGACAUGUGUGUGUAUGUACGUGACAUCUGUGUGUAUGUGUAUCUAGGUACGUGACAUCUGUGUGGCAAGGCACAUGGUCUCGAUGUAUGGAUACAUGACAGAUACAUGGUUCAGUAUAUAUCAGGGUACGUGGCCACUGUGUGUUUGGGUUGUGUGACUCUGAGAGGAAUACAAGACAUACAGAUACUCUAGCCUUCCUCACCACAGCACGAUGUACUUGGUUCAGUGUCUCCCGGGCUGAAUAUAGUCAGUUGGGUUCACAGCGAUUCAACAAUACUACAA